Salmo salar (Atlantic salmon) is the source of this 54-nucleotide non-coding RNA. Lineage: Eukaryota; Metazoa; Chordata; Actinopteri; Salmoniformes; Salmonidae. The record is from Rfam.
UGUUAUGCCUACUGUUAGUCACUUUGGAUAAAAGUGUCUGCUAAAUGGCAUACA